UCGCGUACGUGCUCAGCGC
This 19-nucleotide unclassified non-coding RNA is filed under the name Chlamydomonas reinhardtii. RNAcentral describes it as "small RNA Cre_2676". The record is from RNAcentral. Lineage: Eukaryota; Viridiplantae; Chlorophyta; Chlorophyceae; Chlamydomonadales; Chlamydomonadaceae.